AACCACGACCCUGCAGCUGAGAGAGAAGCCCCAGGCCCAGGAUCCCCAGGUGACCCCGUUCGGGAUCAGGACAGAACAAAGACGACUAAACAUGAAAUCUUUGCUCAGCUGGGUUUUCCUUCUGGCUAUUUUAAAAGGUGCCCAGGGUGAGGUGCAGCUGGUGGAGUCUGGGGGAGACCUGAUGAAGCCUGGGGGGUCCCUGAGACUCUCCUGUGUGGCCUCCGGAUUCACCAUCAGUAGCAACUACAUGAACUGGGUCCGCCAGGCUCCAGGGAAGGGGCUGCAGUGGGUCGGAUACAUUAGCAGUGAUGGAAGUAGCACAAGCUAUGCAGACGCUGUGAAGGGCCGAUUCACCAUCUCCAGAGACAAUGCCAAGAACACGCUGUAUCUGCAGAUGAACAGCCUGAGAGCCGAGGACACGGCCGUGUAUUACUGUGUGAAGGGACACAAUGAGGGGACCUCAGUGUGAGCCCAGACACAAACC
Non-coding RNA from Canis lupus familiaris (dog), 484 nucleotides. The record is from the annotation of a RefSeq genome assembly. Lineage: Eukaryota; Metazoa; Chordata; Mammalia; Carnivora; Canidae.